This 23-nucleotide small nuclear RNA is filed under the name Arabidopsis thaliana (thale cress). RNAcentral describes it as "snRNA_01348". The record is from RNAcentral. Lineage: Eukaryota; Viridiplantae; Streptophyta; Magnoliopsida; Brassicales; Brassicaceae.
CCGCACACUUUCUGCUUUAUGGU